This 1556-nucleotide ribosomal RNA is filed under the name Citrobacter freundii complex sp. CFNIH2. RNAcentral describes it as "bacterial SSU rRNA". It matches the Rfam family "Bacterial small subunit ribosomal RNA". The record is from RNAcentral. Lineage: Bacteria; Pseudomonadati; Pseudomonadota; Gammaproteobacteria; Enterobacterales; Enterobacteriaceae.
ACUUAAAUUGAAGAGUUUGAUCAUGGCUCAGAUUGAACGCUGGCGGCAGGCCUAACACAUGCAAGUCGAACGGUAACAGGAAGCAGCUUGCUGCUUCGCUGACGAGUGGCGGACGGGUGAGUAAUGUCUGGGAAACUGCCCGAUGGAGGGGGAUAACUACUGGAAACGGUAGCUAAUACCGCAUAACGUCGCAAGACCAAAGAGGGGGACCUUCGGGCCUCUUGCCAUCGGAUGUGCCCAGAUGGGAUUAGCUUGUUGGUGAGGUAACGGCUCACCAAGGCGACGAUCCCUAGCUGGUCUGAGAGGAUGACCAGCCACACUGGAACUGAGACACGGUCCAGACUCCUACGGGAGGCAGCAGUGGGGAAUAUUGCACAAUGGGCGCAAGCCUGAUGCAGCCAUGCCGCGUGUAUGAAGAAGGCCUUCGGGUUGUAAAGUACUUUCAGCGGGGAGGAAGGGGUUAAGGUUAAUAACCUUAGCCAUUGACGUUACCCGCAGAAGAAGCACCGGCUAACUCCGUGCCAGCAGCCGCGGUAAUACGGAGGGUGCAAGCGUUAAUCGGAAUUACUGGGCGUAAAGCGCACGCAGGCGGUCUGUCAAGUCGGAUGUGAAAUCCCCGGGCUCAACCUGGGAACUGCAUUCGAAACUGGCAGGCUUGAGUCUCGUAGAGGGGGGUAGAAUUCCAGGUGUAGCGGUGAAAUGCGUAGAGAUCUGGAGGAAUACCGGUGGCGAAGGCGGCCCCCUGGACGAAGACUGACGCUCAGGUGCGAAAGCGUGGGGAGCAAACAGGAUUAGAUACCCUGGUAGUCCACGCCGUAAACGAUGUCUAUUUGGAGGCUGUUCCCUUGAGGAGUGGCUUCCGGAGCUAACGCGUUAAAUAGACCGCCUGGGGAGUACGGCCGCAAGGUUAAAACUCAAAUGAAUUGACGGGGGCCCGCACAAGCGGUGGAGCAUGUGGUUUAAUUCGAUGCAACGCGAAGAACCUUACCUGGUCUUGACAUCCACAGAACUUUCCAGAGAUGGAUUGGUGCCUUCGGGAACUGUGAGACAGGUGCUGCAUGGCUGUCGUCAGCUCGUGUUGUGAAAUGUUGGGUUAAGUCCCGCAACGAGCGCAACCCUUAUCCUUUGUUGCCAGCGGUUAGGCCGGGAACUCAAAGGAGACUGCCAGUGAUAAACUGGAGGAAGGUGGGGAUGACGUCAAGUCAUCAUGGCCCUUACGACCAGGGCUACACACGUGCUACAAUGGCAUAUACAAAGAGAAGCGACCUCGCGAGAGCAAGCGGACCUCAUAAAGUAUGUCGUAGUCCGGAUUGGAGUCUGCAACUCGACUCCAUGAAGUCGGAAUCGCUAGUAAUCGUGGAUCAGAAUGCCACGGUGAAUACGUUCCCGGGCCUUGUACACACCGCCCGUCACACCAUGGGAGUGGGUUGCAAAAGAAGUAGGUAGCUUAACCUUCGGGAGGGCGCUUACCACUUUGUGAUUCAUGACUGGGGUGAAGUCGUAACAAGGUAACCGUAGGGGAACCUGCGGUUGGAUCACCUCCUUACCUUAAAGAA